Molecule: ribosomal RNA, 433 nt
Filed under: uncultured bacterium
Lineage: Bacteria
Description: partial 16S ribosomal RNA
Rfam family: Bacterial small subunit ribosomal RNA
Source: RNAcentral
AACGAACGCUGGCGGCAUGCCUAACACAUGCAAGUCGAACGAGACCUUCGGGUCUAGUGGCGCACGGGUGCGUAACGCGUGGGAACCUGCCCUUAGGUUCGGAAUAACUCCCCGAAAGGGGUGCUAAUACCGGAUAAUGUCUUCGGACCAAAGAUUUAUCGCCUUUGGAUGGGCCCGCGUUGGAUUAGCUAGUUGGUAGGGUAAAAGCCUACCACGGCGACGAUCCAUAGCUGGUCUGAGAGGAAGAUCAGCCACACUGGGACUGAGACACGGCCCAGAAUCCUACGGGAGGCAGGAGUGGGGGAUAUUGGAAAAUGGGCGAAAGGCUGAUCGAGCAAUGGCGCGUGAGUGAUGAAGGCCUUAGAGUUGUAAAGCUCUUUUACCCGGGAUGAUAAUGACAGUACCGGGAGAAUAAGCACCGGCUAACUCCGUG